This 491-nucleotide ribosomal RNA is filed under the name uncultured bacterium. Its description in RNAcentral is "bacterial SSU rRNA". It matches the Rfam family "Bacterial small subunit ribosomal RNA", at positions 34 to 507 of the family's 1533-position model. The record is from RNAcentral.
CGCUGGCGGCGUGCCUAAUACAUGCAAGUCGAGCGGACUUUUUAAAAGCUUGCUUUUAAAAAGUUAGCGGCGGACGGGUGAGUAACACGUGGGCAACCUGCCCUGUAGACUGGGAUAACCUCGGGAAACCGAAGCUAAUACCGGAUAAUCAAUUGAAGCACCUACUUCUAUUGUAAAAGUUGGGAUACUAACACUACAGGAUGGGCCCGCGGCGCAUUAGCUAGUUGGUAAGGUAAUGGCUUACCAAGGCGACGAUGCGUAGCCGACCUGAGAGGGUGACCGGCCACACUGGGACUGAGACACGGCCCAGACUCCUACGGGAGGCAGCAGUAGGGAAUCUUCCGCAAUGGACGAAAGUCUGACGGAGCAACGCCGCGUGAACGAUGAAGGCCUUCGGGUCGUAAAGUUCUGUUGUUAGGGAAGAACAAGUACCGUUCGAAUAGGGCGGUACCUUGACGGUACCUAACCAGAAAGCCACGGCUAACUACGUG